This 253-nucleotide ribosomal RNA is filed under the name uncultured bacterium. Its description in RNAcentral is "partial 16S ribosomal RNA". It matches the Rfam family "Bacterial small subunit ribosomal RNA", at positions 524 to 776 of the family's 1533-position model. The record is from RNAcentral.
UACGUAGGGGGCAAGCGUUGUCCGGAAUUAUCGGGCGUAAAGAGCGUGUAGGCGGUCCGGUAAGUCAGCUGUGAAAGUCAAGGGCUCAACCCUUGAAUGCCGGUUGAUACUGUCGGGCUAGAGUCCGGAAGAGGCGAGUGGAAUUCCUGGUGUAGCGGUGGAAUGCGCAGAUAUCAGGAGGAACACCGAUGGCGAAGGCAGCUCGCUGGGACGGUACUGACGCUGAGGCGCGAAAGCGUGGGGAGCGAACAGG